RNAcentral lists this long non-coding RNA (13290 nucleotides) under Nicotiana benthamiana. RNAcentral's name for it is "long non-coding RNA (NBEN_LNC017325)". The record is from RNAcentral. Lineage: Eukaryota; Viridiplantae; Streptophyta; Magnoliopsida; Solanales; Solanaceae.
UCAAUCAUAUACCAUCCUGCACCUGCCAUGAGCUGCGAGUCACGCCCUAAAAUAGUGUCACGAUAUGGUAAACCAGGGUUUCAAACCCUCUGGCCAUCAUCUACACAAACUACUCAACUCCAACCGGUCGUAGACUGGUCCGCAAUGCCUUUUCCAUUUGAAUCUCCAUCUACUCGCGUCUAAUCUAGUCAAAAUCACAAUGAAUACGUUAUUAUAGGCUAAAUAAAUAUAACCCAAUUGAAAUUAAGCGAAAAACACUAAAAAUGGCAAAGUUGGUAAAACUCGAGCCCCGGGCCCACUUCUUGAAAAAGUCCAAAAAUUACAUCGCCGGAUUCCUCGUCUUGCCACGAGUCCAUACGUAUAAAGUUUCCCAAAAAACGAAGUUCAAAUGGCCUUUUAAAUCCCCAAAUUCGUUUCUAAAUGUUAAGCCCUAGUUCUUCAUAAUUUCUACACAAUUCAUGGAAUUGAGGGUCGAUUCUUCCUAAAAAUGGUGUUUUCAAGUAAAAAGACUUACCUCCAAUCAUUACCCACUGAAAACACACUUCAAAUCGCUCAAAAAGCUCCCUUGGUUGCUUAACAAUAGAGGAAAUAUUAUUGGGUUCGUGACUGAAAUUACCCUUAAAAACAUUCAGUCCAGCUAAACGACCCUUCUUCGCGAACGCGAGGCCCUUCUGCGUUCGCGAUGAACAAAAUCCACUGGGCUAAUUUUCCUUCUUCGUGAACGCAGUGCCCAACUGCGAAUGCGAAGGCCAACUCAGGACCCCCAACAUUCCCUCUUCGCGAACGCGUGGUCCAGUCGCGAACGCGAAGGCAAACAACCCCCAACCUAUGCGAACGCGACCACCCUUCACGAACGCGAAGGCAAAAAUUCUUGGAUUCCCAAUUCCUUCUAUGCGUUUGCGACCUACCCAUGUGAACGCGAAGCACAAAGUUCUGCAACACCAACAGCAGAACACUAGCAAUCCUCUAAGUCCAAAAAUAGCUCGCUUGACCAUCCGAUAUCAGCUCAAGGCCUCCGGGACCUCAACCAAAAGCACAUAUAUGCUCUAAUACCUCAUUCAAACUUGCUCGAUCCAUAAAAUCACUAUCAUAAACAUCAAAAUCAUCAAAUUACCAUGGAUUCAAUCUAAGUUAAACUAAAACUUCCGAAACUUGCAUUUGAUCCAAAACUCAACCUAAACACCUCCGAAUGACAUGAAAAUUUGCACGCAUAUCAAAAAUCAUCUAAUGGAGCUACUACAACUGUCGGAAUUCCAUUUCGACCCCUGGAUGAAAAUCUCACCUAUCAACCGGAAUUCGCCAAAAUUCAAACUUAGCCAAUUCAAGCCUAUUUCUACACCGGACCUCCAAAUUGAGUUUCGGUUGCACUCCUAAGUCAUAAAAAUUACCACUCGGAACAAAUCGAAUCAUCGGAAAUCCAUUACGAUCCCUCUAACUCACAAGUCAAUAUUCAGUUGACUUUUUCAAAAUAAUCUUCUCAUAAAGAGACUAAUUGUCUCAUAUCUAACCAUACUCUAUCCGAAUUACUUCAAAUUCUCUAAACACAUAUAAUGAAACAUAUAAAAGCAUAAAAUGGGAAAAACGGGGCGGUAACUCACGUGACGACGGGUCAGGUCGUUACAGGUAGUCCCCCUUUAUAGUGCAAAAAACGAGUAAGCAGAAGGUAAGAAAUAAUUUUGAGUCAAUCACAUAAGGAUCUCCCCUAGGUUAAGGGAUUUGAAUUCAAACGUGUAUGAGACAAUUAAGGAAAUAAAAAAUAAUUAAAACCUUUUCAGAGUAGUAUAACAAGGGUAAUUACACAGAGUUUAAUUAAGGCAAGAAUCUUAUGGUACCUGGUUUGAAAAAUAAGGAAAGUAAAUCAAUCAAACAGCCAGUAAAUUGAAAACCUCGCUCGAAUGAACUUAGUCAGAAAAUGGGGAGGAAAAGGUUUAAUUUGGAAAAUCAGUAACAAUCAAUCGAGCCUUAGUAAAGGGAAAUUGGAAUCAAUUACAAGUUGGCAGAAUCCUUUUGAAAGAAAAACCCUUAUAUAUAACCACACAAGCAUCAGACAAGAAAGAGAAGGUUGGCAUACAGAAUCCUUUUGAAAGAAAAAGCUUUCAUAUAUAAAGCACACAAGUGUCAAACAAGAAAAGAAAGACUGGCAUAGAAAGUAGAGGUGUUCAUGGUUCGAUUUGGAUCGGGUUUUCCCUAAAAAUAAACCAAACCAAGUAAGUCGGUUUUUUCAAAUAUUAAGACCAAACCAAAACAAUUAAGUCGGUUUUUCUCAAUUUGGUUCAUGUCGGUUUUUUGGUUUUUUCGGUUAUUUGACGGGUUUUCCUUAAAUAUAAGACAUACACUACCAAACACAUAUUCUGGCGACCACAUUUUCAAUGUAACACUAUCAAAUCAAAUGAUCUUUGAGAAAUCAAUUAUUAACCAAGUAUAAUGAUGAUAAUUGAAUCAAAUAAUGAUGACCAAUUUAAGGACUCAAUUAAAAUAUGUUAUUUUUAACACAAAAUUGAUUCUUGCACAAAAAAAAAAAAACUACCAAUCAAACUAGAAUGUAAAGUUAAAGAACUAUAUUAAAAGUGCAAAUUAUUGACAUUGACCAUAAAUUUUUUGAAGCUUUGUAUAUAUAUAUAUAUAUAUAUAUAUAUAUAUAUAUAUAUAUGUGUGUGUGUGUGUGUGUGUGUGUGUGUGUGUAUAAUAAUAAAUUUGAAAUAACUACUUCCGCAGUCGGUUUGGUUCGGUUUUUUUUAUUAAAAUCAAAACCAAACCAAAUUUGAUCGGUUUUUAAUCUUUAAAAUCAAAACCAAACCAAACCAAAAAGUGUCAUUUUUUGGUCGGUUUGGUUUGGUUCAGAUUUUCGGUUUUUAUGAUCACCCUAACAGAAAGUUUCAAAUUAUAAGCAAAAGAUUCCAGUCCAGUCCAAAGUAGAACCCUAGUUCAAACUCAAAGACCAAAAACUCGUAGGAACCCCAAACCCUAGGGUUUCAAAUUCGAGUAUGGUAUAGAAAGGAGGGGGCAAGCCCUUAAAACAGACUCAAAGAGUCUCAUGAUGAAGCACAUGGAUACAAUAUCCAGUUUGAAGCAACAGAGUGAGAAAAUCAUAAGGAACAUGUUUAAUAAAAGCUCAGAACUUAAGCAAGUUCAGGAGAGAAAAGAGGUGACAUAGCACUUAAGCGAAAGUAUAUGAAAUAGGUUUAGAACUCAAACAAACUCAGUAAAAAUAUAGUAAAGGAAUACACACAAGAUAGACACGUAAAACAUUUUGUAGAAAACCAGUAGAGGAGAUAACAGAGCACAAGUAGAAGAACAUGCAUAAUAAUGGCAAAACAUAAGAACAUAAGAGAAGACAUACACAAGCGAAAACACAUAAGAACAAAGCAUAUACAGGCAGAUUCAUUCACAUAAAGAAAGAAGAAGAAGAAGAAAAAGAAAUCGUUUUAAGAGUUUUUUGAAAGCCCUAGAUUGAAUAGACUAAUUUUGAUAAAGAAGAUUGGGGAAAAGCUUUAAAACCUCGAGUGUAACACAAAUCUAUCACAUAUCUAAUAAAAUAAAGGAAGAAAGAACCUUGAACGGCUUUUAGGGUUUCUCAGAAACCCUAGAGACGAGAAAGCUUGGAAAGGAUCUGGUCUCGAACAGGUUUGGACAAUAGCUAGGACUUUCACUCAAACACGUCGGAACGGAGCUGGAGAAGCCAUAGGAACUCAGAUCGGCGGGGAAUUUGGACAGGCGUUUCUACGAUUGAACCAUAAAAACCUCAAACAUCCAUGAUUUGGGGUGAAGGGGAGAGAGCACGGGCCGUUCAUGGCCUGAGAAGCCAUGGACGCCAGUGGAAUUUGGUCGGAGAAGACGAUAGGGGACGGCUAGGGUUCGAGUGUCAGAGAGAGUUUGAGAGAAGCGGAGGGUUCAAAGGUGGCUACAUGAGAGAAAUGAGAGAUGGGGUUAGGGUUUGGUAAGAUUAAAAAGGAAAGGAUUGUUGUGGGUCGUUGAUCAAAAUGAUCAACGUCCAGGAUUAAAUGAUAAUACGGACGGGUUUAGUCAAACGGGUUAGGGGCCGGGUUAAAUUGAAUUGGGCUAUUAAUUUGGGGCCUGAUAUUAGGUCAACUGGGGGGGGGGGGUCAAAAUAGGAUAAAAUUGAAAGAAAUUGAGGCCAUAAUUGAAAUAGACAAUUUUCCCUUUUGAUUUUAUAAAAAUAGUAAAAGUAUUUUAAAAAUUAAAUUAAAAGUACUGAGUCAAUAAAUAAUAUAUAAAUAUUAAAAAUAUUGGGAUUGAUUUAUCGAAAGUGAACUAUAAUUGUAAUUACAUGCAAUUUAGUUUUAAAAAUACUAAAUGAAUUUGUAAAUGGAAAACGGUCAUAUAUGUCCUUCUACUAGUCAAAAUAAGCUACAUCUAUCCUACGCUAUACUAUUUGGCCAUAUAUGUCCCUACCGUUCACGUCUCUGGUCAUAUAUGUCCCUCUGACGUUAAUAUUUCUGUUUAAAAAUUAAAAUGCCACAUGUCAGAGUCCUAUUGAUUAUACUAAACCCACUUCCCUUUUUUUUUUAUAUUAAAAUGAAAAUAUUUGUAAAAAACAAAAGAAAUGGUAAAAAUGGGGAAUUUUUUUAAAAAACUGGGAAUUUUUUUUAUUAUUUCAGAUUUUAAAGAACAAAAAUAUUAUAUUAAAAAUAAUUUAUUUUCUAUUUUUACAAAUUUAUAUUUUCACUUUUUACAAAGCCAAAUUCUUUUAAAAAUGAAAAAAAUACUUUUUAAAAACAAAAAAAAACACAUUUUGGAAAUAUUUUCAUUUUUGAAAAUAACUUGAUUUUUUUUUGUAAAAACGGAAAUAAAAAUUGUUUAACAAAAUAUUUUCAUUUUUGACAAAAUUGUUUAACAAAAUAUUUUCAUUUAUAAAAAAAGAAGAAGAAUGUAUUCCUUAUCAUUCUGAUUCAUUUAGAGAUGCUCUAUUCAUAUUUUUGAAAUAUUUUGAAAAAAUAAAAAAUCAGUUUAAACAAUUUUUUUUUUCUGUUUCACUAAAAAAAUAAGUUUAAACAAUAUUUUUGUUUUUUAAUAUAAUAUUCUCAUUUUUUAAAAUCUGAAAUAAAAAAAAAAAUUCCCACAUUUUUCAAAAAUUUUCCCCAUUUUUUACAAUUUUUUUUUUUUUUUUUACAAAUAUUUUCGUCUUAAUAUAAAGAAAAAGAUGAUUGAGUUUAGUUUAACCAAUAGGACUCUGACACGUGGUAUUUUAAUUUUUAAACAGAAAUAUUAACGUCAAAGGGACAUAUAUGACCAAAGAUGUGAACGGUAAGGACAUAUAUGACCAAAUAGUAUAACACGGGACAAAUGUAAUUAUUUUGAUUAGUAGAGGGACAUAUAUGACCGUUAUCCAAUUUGUAAAUAUAUGGAAAAAUCAUAUUAUCUAUAUUUUGGUAUAAAUAUGAGGAUAAAAUAAUUUAUUCACAAAAAAUGAUAAUUUUGGGAAUAAUUAUUCUAUUUUAUGGUAUAAAAAUAUGCAAUAAAUUGGUUUAAAAAUUUGUAAAAAUGCCAAAACUCAUGGAUGUGCUCAUAUAUGUAUAUAUAUAUAUAUAUAUAUAUAUAUAUAUAUAUAUAUAUAUGAUAUUUUGGAAGUAUUUUUGGUAUAAAAUAAUAUAUAGAGAAAAAUUGGGUAUCAACAGGUGAUGCCACAACCCUAGUGCCUUUCUCUAUAUUAAUUACAACUUAGAAAAUAUCCCUUUAGCAUAAUUUAGUCUUAAUCCUUAGUUGAUAAUAGUAGUUGAUAAACGGAAACCCAAAAAUGUUUGGAGUGCAAUUAGAAGCACAAACGCAUUCCUAGUCUAGACAAAUACGAAACUCCACUUCAAGCUCUCUGUGAAAAAAUUGACCCCGAUACCACUAUUUAGGUAAAAGCUGUAGCACGCGAUCUUCCUAUCAUGGCAAUUAGAAGAACAAACGCAUUCCUAGUCUAGAGAGAAAUGCAACUCCACUCCAAGUUCUCUGUGGAAAAAUCAACCCCGAUAUCACUAUUUGGGUAAAAGUUGUAGCACCCGCUCUUCCUACCAUUGUGUAAGGUCGAGUUGGCAACGGCCACUUUUUGGCGUCGUUGCCAAGGAGCUUAUGGUGUUGACUAUCUGUGUAGCUAGUUUUGUGUUUUGCUUCUCUUUCCUUUUUUUACUAACUUUAAUUGUGUCAAUCACUCAGGUACACAUGGCUUUAAAUGAAAAUGACCCUCUUGGCAACAUGGUCAUGGGGGAGGAAGUUGACGACCUAGAACAAGAAGAUGCAUUAACUCAAGCCCCGAGGAGAGGUCGAAAUGCCAAUGCAAAUGCAAAUGAAAACAUACUAUACCCUCCUCCACUUCCACCAAGAGUGUCCCCAAGAGUUCUCCCUAAUCAAGGGUAUGCGAGUGCAAUAGUUCCUUCCCGAAUUCGGGUGAGGAACUUCCAGAUUACAAAUGUGAUGCUCACUUUGCUCGAACAACGAGGUUAUUUCAUGGGUGCCUCCGAUCAGAAUGCUUAUAAAUAUUUGAAAGGUUUUGUGGAUACUUGUUGGGGCAGUUGAUAAGUUGGUAUUUUACCAACUUAUCUUGCCUUUAAAACUAUACUUUUGUAUGUUUGAAGUGAUAAAAUCAAGUAUUUAAUGUCAUUUACUUCUACUUUACAGGUUGAAUGUGAUUUAGAAGUAAUGGUGAAGAAAACAAGUCAAAAGAAGCAAAAAAAAGAGAAAAAUCUAGGCAGUGCCCUUAGGGGUCACAAAUGCCACCAAAGCUUUGGAAUUGCGAAGUCAAGCAGAAAAGGGAGUCCUUCACAAAUGCGAAAUAGGAGUUCACAAAUACGAACUAAGUAGAAAAUGGAUGAUCUCGCAAUUGCAAAGAUCACUUCGUAAAUGCAAAGUCAACAGGAAAGGUCAACCUUCUCAAAUGCGAAGAAAUCAUCACAAAUGCAAUCCAGUCAGUCUAGCAAGGUUAGGAAUUGCGAACAUUUGUUCGCAAUUGCGAAGAACAUGCUUCAGGCAUGGGCAAUUCUAGAAUUUCACACUUUUGAUCUCCAAGUCAUUUAAUACCCGAUUAGGCUCAUUUGUAAACAUCUUUGGCUUAUUUUCAGUCCGUAGAGACUAGAGAGAACAAGGUGAAAGCUAGGGUUUUGCACAAACACACUUGGGUCUUGAAGAUUAAAGCUUGUGGUUAAGGUUUUCUUACCCAUUUAUGUUUGUUUCUUUAUUUCAAACACACUUGGGUCUUGAAGAUUAAAGCUUGUGGUUAAGACUUUCUUACCCAUUUAUGUUUGUAUCUUCAUUUUCUUGCUUUGUAUUGAAUAUUUAACUUUGUAGUAUUUAUUUCCAACACUUGAAGCUUGUUUAUGGGAAUAUUCAUAUUUGAAGUGUGGAUUAAAUACCUUGUUGUGCUUAUGUAUUGAAUGAUUUUUGUAUAUUUAUGAAGUAAGUUAUUGUUACUUUAAUUAUUCUUGUUCUUUAAUGUUUCCAAAGGGAUUAGCUAACCCUAGGACUCGCCCAUAACUACGAAUUGAUUUUGGAAAAAAUAGUUUGGGUUCGGAAAAGAUUAAUUAAUAAGAACUUGAGGCGUUAACCUCAUUUUAUAGAUUCUACCUAAGGAUAGGAUUGAACUACUUGUAGUCUUCCGGGUGUGCUUACUUGAAUUACCUAUUUUUGCAAGAACUAUUCCAUCAUAAAACUCAGUGGGUAAUUGUGGUAAUCGGAUCCAAAUGACAGUGACGUUAUGUUGUGCUUUGUUUGGAACAAAAUUUGGAACCCAUUUUUGAGUGGAUAGAAAAAAACCAUUAACGAACUAAGGUCCAUUAUGUAGAAUUUUUGUCAUGUUUUCCUCACUAUUUAGUUUGACAGUAUAGUAAUCUUCUCCAAGAACAAUUAGAGGGAAAUUUUCGCUGAGCUUCCAAAGAUCUUGUAAUUUCUUUUUGAGAUAGUGAUAUAUAAGUCUCUUCCCUAUUAGCUUGAUGAUGAUCGAAUUUUUCCAAGGCAUGUACAUUCGUUGAAGUUAUCUUGGCUGAGGAAUAUUUGUCUUAAUGAGCUAGUUAAAUCAUUUUGGCUUGAUCAUCAGUUUGGAUUUGGUUAAUGUCCAUAUCUAUAUGAUUUCUAACUCUUGAGUUUGAGGAUUUACUACUUUGGUAGUGAAAAUAUCUUUUAGAAGGGUUUCCUCAUAUGAAGAAGAGAUUUGUAGUUUGUGACUAGAUUUAUCCGGUAACUUUGGUGGAAUAUUAAUAGUAGUAGAUGGUGAUUCUUGAAGUGAGAGGUUAGACAUUCUCUUUCUAAAGUGGAGAAUUAUUGUAUGCCUGACGUUAUCUUUUUCCCUAAUUAGAACACUUUAGUUGCAUGCUAUCUGCACCAAAAUAGAGACCAAUCCUCAUAUGCCAAUAUAAAUUCUUUAACUCACUUUUUUUUUUACUUAAGCACCAAAAGUGAAAAUAAAUUCCAAUUGCCAAGCAAUUUCAGUUAAACCUGACUCUGUCAGCACCUUUGAAAUUGAAAUCUGAAUAGAGGACAUAGUGGAUCUACUACACACGGCAGUAGCUAGACCAUUUUGAAUUUAUCACAAUUGAUUAUUGUGUAUAUUCCCACCACCAUAUUGUUUUAAUCUAAGUAGUACACGUCUUUUCCUUCUCCGACUAGCAUUGCUAAUUUGAGUAGGAGUCAAAUUGUAGUAUCCUAGUUCAUGUUGGAAAUUUACUGUUACGCUUUCUUCAACUCACAAUCAUCAAUUUCCAGUGCUUUUGACAAUUGUGAAGUAUCACCGCAGGUAAUUUUUUCUUUUAUAUUUCUUUUAUAAUUUUUUUUCCUUUUUUUGCAAGCCCGGAAGAGAAGGAUUUAUUUUUGUUUAACUAGAUGAUCCAUAUAUGAAAAAUACAAUCAUAGGAUGUGAGGGAAUGUAUACUCAUCCCGCGCAAAUAUCGGAGAGACAACACUCAAGGUGACCUGAAUAUUAGAGAAAUUACUUUGAAUGUGGCUCGAGUAUCGGAGAAAUUACUCUCAAUGUGGCUCGAAUAUCGGAGAAAUUACUCUCAUCACGACCAAAAUAUCAAAGAUAUUACUCUCAAGAUGUAGUCCGAAUAUCGGAGAGAUUACUCUCAAGGUGUGAAGGAAUGAAAUUCAUCCCUGCCCAAAAAUUGAAGGUCAUUUCAGGGCACAAAGGUUCAUACAGCAUAUCCAAAUACAAGUCCAUGGGAAAAAAUAAAUGGACAAAUUCAUAAAGAGGCCAACUUAAGUUGCAAGGGUACUUAGGCCUCAUUUGUUUGCACUUAAUGGAGGUUUGAAUCUUAAUCAUUCAGAUCACAAAUAUUAAGUGUGUUUGUUUUUAAAGUCUAAAUCUUAAAUAUUCGGAUCUUAAUCAUUAAGUGUUGUUUGUUUUUUUACUUCACAACCACUUAAUGGGUCUGAAUAAGUCAGUAUGGGUAAGAUCUAUAACAGAGACUUAAUUUCAUUAAGAUGCUAUCACAUAUUCAUUAUUUACUGUCGCCACCGCGUACCAUUAUUAACUACCACUAUGCCGCCGCCACCACCACCAUACUCAACCACCACCAUCGCUGCUGCCGCCGCCACCCACCGCCACACCACCAUCAUCCUUAAUCAUAGCCUCCAUGAUCGACCAUCACCACCUACUAUCCCCACCACUCAAACCACCAUCAUUCUCACCCACAGUCAAAUAAAAAUAAAUUUUAUACAUUCAGAUGUUAAAAAUUAAACAGUCUGAAUUAUUUUUAUUCAGAUCUUAAUACACAUCUUAAUAUAUUCAGAUGUGUAUUCAGAUUCAGAUGUGUUGAUCUUAAUGUACGUUUUGAUAUUCAGAUGUGUAUACAGAUUCAUACGUCUUAAUCUUAAAAAACAAAUGAGGCCUUAACCCACCUUAAGAUUGAAAAAUUAUAAUUCCUUUUAAGGACAAACCUACGAAGAGGUCAACUUAAAAUAUAAAGGGAGUAUAAUGUCCACCUCAAGAUGGGAAAGUUAUAGUUCCUUAGCUUUUAAGGAUAAAUCCACUAAGAUGCCAAUUUAGAACCCUUUUGUGAAAUAAAAAUAUUAAUAUAAAAAUCUGUAUGUGAACGACCAUAACUUACAACCUUAAAACGAGAUGGUUAGACUUAGAUCACUUAUCUGUAUCACUUCGGCCUAAUUUCUUUUAAAAGAAGUGUUACUACAAAUAUUCUCCCUAUUUAUUCUUGAAGGAAAGAAAAAAAAGGAGAUUACACUUUCUUUUUGGAUCUAACUGCAAAGCAUGAUACUAUGAAUUUUUCUCUUUUCCUUUAAUUAAUUUUGAAUAUUUAUUAAGUAUUACAGAAGAUCAUCAUUGCAGUCAUCAAUGUUGAUUUAUGACUACAUUACAUGAUAAUGCCAAACCUGUUAAAGACUUGAAGAUUAAAGAAUGAGGAAUAGUCACCGAGGAUAGGAGUCAUGUCCCCGAGGUUGAAACUUAAUAUUAUCUCUGUCGUAAAAUCGACAGUCGCAACUCGCAUCAGCUAUUUUAUGAGAGAAACCUAGGGUCCUAUCGUUGGAAACAAGGAAAAAAAGGAGUAACUGAGUAAGGAAAAUCUGAGACCUAAGGACUGAGCUUAGUAUUACAGGGCGUAAGUUGUCACAAGUUGGAUUUGGGAUGUGAUUUGGAAACUUAAGUUAGAAAGUAGGGCUGUGCUACUUAAAUAUAUUGGUAUUUCGGUAUUACCUAAGUAUCGAAAGUUCAAUAUCGAAAAUUAUAAAGAUGUACCGAAGUUAUAAAAAAAUUACACCGAAUAAAUACUGUUUGACCAAAAAGUAUAAACUUUCGAUUAAAUUAUUAUAUUUUAUGUAAUGAAGGGUUAAACUUAGUUUACGAUAAUAUCUCUAUAUAUAGAUCUUAAACAUACGGAUAAUGUAAGACACGGUCAGUGGGAGAUUGAAAAUAACAUGCAUUUAAUAAUCCAAAAGGUAUGAACAAUAAUAGAGGAGUAACUACCAAUAAAUAACAAUAAAUGACAUUUAAGUAAAUAAGGAAAGUGACUCACCAAAUAAUGAAUGAGGUAGAUGAUUGUUCCUCCUAACAAUGAUGAGUAACACACAAAUUCUAAAAUGUUCCGAACUAUUUUCGGAUCUAAUGAAAAAGUAUGGAAUAAUGUGAGUAAGAAUAUUGAUGAAAAGGUAAAGUUUGUCUCUUUUCUUGAGAAAGAUAAUCUUCUCUAAAAAGUAUUCUUAUGAAGUGAAUAUUACAUGACCCAUCCCAUUGUCUCCUUUUCUAUUUAUAAGAAACAUGUCUCUAACAAACUCUAAUAAUACAAAAUGUAGAGAAUAUCCAAUAAAGUAUUCUCUUUAAUAUCAUAUUUCAAUCAUUAGUCGUUACUAUUCUUUACACGAUGCUCGACCUCAUCAUGGUGACAUCUCAGCCAUGAACCCUGCUGUUUUUAUCGACCUCGGCCAUCUUUUUCCUUAAUGCCAUUGUAUACGGCGAAAUCGUAGGAGCCAAUUUCUCGUUGUUAAGGCAUUUCGGAAGGUCACCUUGGAGUUUCGAGACCGCAUGCCGAGUACUCUCCCUCGAGGGUCGUCAACACUCGAACUCAGGAUAACGACGACCUCGAUAAUGGUUGUCACACCCCUUUUUUACACUUCACUAACCCUCUGAAAUUAAUAAAAAGAAUUUGUAAAUCUCAAAAAGGGGUUUUUUUAAUUAAAAGUUACGAAAUUGUGUUCAAAAGAAAAUAACUUAGAGUCGUCACCUGACAUUUGAUUUCGGUGUGUCAGGUCACCGUUUUUUUUUCUAAAAAUAAUUUUUUCCUUUCAAAAUACUUGAGACUCCAAAACUAAAUAUGCAUCAGAGAUUCGGGUAAGGGGGUUCAUUUGACUCGGAAGAAGGUGUUAGGUACUCCCCAAGUCCCGUAACUAGUAAGGUUGCGCACUUGAUCAAAUUGGUUUUUAAAUAUUCAAAUUGAGGUAAAAAUAAACGUAGAAAAGAAAAAUAAACACACAAGAGGCUUGAGGUCGCCCCUACCUAAUAUAAGAAAAAUGAAAAUAAAAAUAAAAUACUAAGAGUUUUACUUUCGGCCUCCAAAUACAAAUACUUCGGGGCAAUACCCCGGAUAAAAAUAUAUACAAAUCUUUCGAGGCAUUCCCUAGUUAAAAUUAACUAAGGGAACAACCUCUCGCUUCAAAAACUGAAAAAAUCCUAAAGUUUUCCUACUCAGAUGAUGACGGCCUAAACAUGCUCCCACCGUCCGAGUAACUAAAAUCAACAAUAAAAUAAAGCUAUGAACUAUUUAAGCUUUAGUUUCUCCUUAGUUUUGGUUAAGACUCAUGCGCCGCAACUCAAUCACGAUUCAACUAAUGACCGUUCUAGUUCUUGACAAUAUGGGUGAUAAGUUUAUAUUUAAUUUUAACUUAGUCAGCAACCCUCACAAUCUAUUAAGUUAGGAUGACCUAAAUCACCACAUCAUUAUUAUAUUAUGAUAAUAAUCUAACAAACAUUCAACCUCAAAUGAAAGAUUAACAAAACAUAUUUCCGAAACCCAAUUCAGUUUAGGUCAACCAAUCCAUAGCAAAGCACAUCAUGAAAAACAAAUUUCAACUAGGAAUAACAUCACAUAUUGUUUAUAAUGAAAUCCCAUACACAAUAUUAAGUUAAAAGAGCAAGAAAUGGACCUUUAUGAUCAAGCUUUCAAUUAAAUAGAAUCAGCCACGAAUGAAUUGCAAACGAAAAUCACUGACCGAAUUGUAUCAAAAAUCGACAUGAGACGGAGACCGCGCCAGCAACAUCGACGAACCCACGAUUAGGCAGCCUCCAAACAGAGAUUCAAAUAAAGGAUUCAAAUUGGGGUAGUUUUUCCAAAUUCAGCGUAUUUUUUAUCGCUAUUUUCCCACCUUUUCUUACGUUUCAGAUAAGUUUUUGGAACCUCUUGUUGUUGUUGUAGGUGUCUUCUAGGUUCAGGGGGUGCCGGCGACCGGUGGGUGUGAACAACAUUGGAAUGGUUUUUGUAGGUGGUGUGUCUACUAGGAGAUGGAGAGAAAGUCCAGCGGCGUGUGUAGGUUGAUAACAGCGGAGGUCUUGGAGAGGAGAUGUGGUGGGGUCGAUGGAUGGUGGUUUGUCUUAAAGCGGCAGCUACAUCGGUUGAGAGGAUUCCGGGUGGCGACUGUUGCUUGUGUCUAAGGUUAUGAAGAAGAAGAAAAUGGCUGAAGGUUCUCUUAGGUUUAGUUCCGUCUUUUCUUAAGAAGAAGCUCACGCCUUAUACCAAAAAUGUCCAUGUCUCCUCUAGGGUUCAGCCCUUGUGUCUAUUCAAGAAAAAGGAGUGGCUCCAAGUUCUACGGCUAGGUUUUUAUUUUUAAGCUUAAGUUUUUUUAGUUCAAAAA